AGUGAACGCUGGCGGUAGGCCUAACACAUGCAAGUCGAACGGCAGCACAGUAAGAGCUUGCUCUUACGGGUGGCGAAUCGCGGACGGAUGAGGAAUAUAUCGGACUCUACUUUUUCGGGGGGGAUAACGUAGGGAAACUUACUCUAAUACCGCAUCCGACCUACGGUUGAGAGCGUUGGAUCUUCGGACCUUGCGCGAUUGGAUGAGCCGAUGUCGGAUUAGAUGGUUGGCGGGGUAAAGGCCCACCAAGGCGACGAUUCGUAGCUGGUGUGAGAGGAUGGUCGGCGGCACGGGAAGGGAGACACGGACCAGACUCCUACGGGAGGCACCAGUGGGGAAUAUUGGACAACGGGGGCAAACAUGAUACAGCGAUCCCGAGCGGGUUGAGGAGGCGCUGCGGUUGUAAAGACCUCUUUUUGGGAAAGAAAAGCAGCAGGUUAAGACGCCGCGGGUGUGACGGUACCCAAAGAAUAAGCACCGGCUAACUUCGUG
Molecule: ribosomal RNA, 492 nt
Filed under: uncultured bacterium
Lineage: Bacteria
Description: partial 16S ribosomal RNA
Rfam family: Bacterial small subunit ribosomal RNA
Source: RNAcentral